UCAGAAAGCUCUGAAACUCAAGUCUUAGAGGACUGUGAUUAACUCUAUUAUUUGGACCAAACUUAAUUUAUUUUCAUCAGGGAAUCUACAUCAGAAAAAUGGUACACCAUAUACACAUUCAUGAUUUUCUUUCCCCCAUUCUACCAAUCUCUGCUAAUCCUGAAUGGCCAGACUCAUCUUUAGUUUGGUACCACACCUACGCAUCACCCUUCUUUGAUCCCCAUGCAUUCUUUUAUACAUGUGUAAAAACAAUAGAAAGAUUAGGGUAGACAUUAUUCGCUUCACUACUUAUGUAUGACUGAAACAUUUAGGUGGUUAGACACGGUCAUGUGUGUCUAAAAUUUGUAAAUAAAGAAAAUGGUUGUUAAAACAGUAUUAUUGCAUUUCUCCUUGCUGUUUGGUACCUCUGAAUUGAUUCCACCCGAAUCUUUUAGUAUAUAAAUAAAUAAAUAAGAAUUUACUCUGUUAUUUUAUUGUUUUGGGAAUUAGAAUCAGUACCAUGAUGAUUAUUAUCUGUAUAUCUUUUUGUACCUAGGAGAAAGCAUUAUUUGACUUUGGGUUGGGGUUUGAGAUUAAUGAGGUUUGAUGAUUUGAGACUUGAGUAGUUUAAAGAAUCAUGGUUAUCAAUAUAAUAUGUCUCUCCAGUGAUUUUGCAUGAUGUUUUUCAUCCAUAUGCUACUACUGAUAAGACCUAAACACGAGCCUCACAAUAAACACUAACUCAGCCUCCCAAACACAAAGCCAGUUGCACCU
This 753-nucleotide long non-coding RNA is filed under the name Brassica napus (rape). RNAcentral describes it as "long non-coding RNA (BNAP_LNC018159)". The record is from RNAcentral. Lineage: Eukaryota; Viridiplantae; Streptophyta; Magnoliopsida; Brassicales; Brassicaceae.